Molecule: ribosomal RNA, 776 nt
Filed under: uncultured Neocallimastigales
Lineage: Eukaryota; Fungi; Neocallimastigomycota; Neocallimastigomycetes; Neocallimastigales
Description: partial large subunit ribosomal RNA
Rfam family: Eukaryotic large subunit ribosomal RNA
Source: RNAcentral
UAUGUGAUCGUCUCUCGCAUAUCAAUAAGCGGAGGAAAAGAAACUAACAAGGAUUCCCCUAGUAACGGCGAGUGAAGCGGGAAGAGCUCAAAUUUGAAAUCUUAAAGGGUUUCCCUUUACGAAUUGUAGUUUAAAGAAGUGUUUUCUGUUGAGGUUUUGGUAAAGGUUCUUUAGGAAUAGGACAUCAUAGAGGGUGAGAAUCCCGUAUUUGACCUUUACUUUCAACUUUGUGAUACACUUUCAAAGAGUCGGAUUGUUUGGGAAUGCAGUCCAAAAUGGGUGGUAAAUUUCAUCUAAAGCUAAAUAUUGGCGAGAGACCGAUAGCGAACAAGUACCGUGAGGGAAAGAUGAAAAGAACUUUGAAAAGAGAGUUAAACAGUACGUGAAAUUGUCAAAAGGGAAGCGUUUGACACCAGUGUUGUUUUUCUGAAAAUCAAUUAAAGAACUGUUUAUGCUAAGCUGUUUAGACUUUAUCAGCUAACUGUUUAGUUUUGAGCUUUUCUUUAAUGCACUUUUCAGUUAACAAGUCAACAUCAAUUUCUUUUGCUGUAAAAAAGCUUGAGGAAGGUGGCUUGAGAUUCGUCUUAAGUGUUUAUAGCCUCUUGCCUAGUGCAGUCGGAGAGAUUGAGGUCUGCAGCGUAGAUCCUUCGGGGCUAAAUGCAUUUGUGCUAAGUUAUAGCAUUUUAUAGACAACUUGUUGACUAUGAUUUGUCUUGUAGCUUACUCGCUUAUGUUAUUUUACCUACGCUUAGGAUGUUGAGUAGCGACAUACGCAC